GAUGAAGAACGUAGCGAAAUGCGAUAAGUAAUGCGAAUUGCAGAAUUUCCGUGAGUCAUCGAAUCUUUGAACGCACAUUGCGCCCCCUGGUAUUCCGGGGGGCAUGCCUGUCCGAGCGUCAUUGCUGCCCUCAAGCCCGGCUUGUGUGUUGGGUCUCGUCCCCCUUCCCGGGGGGACGGGCCCGAAAGGCAGCGGCGGCACCGCGUCCGGUCCUCGAGCGUAUGGGGCUUUGUCACCCGCUCUGUAGGCCCGGCCGGCGCUUGCCGAUCAACCAAAACUUUUUUCCAGGUUGACCUCGGAUCAGGUAGGGAUACCCGCUGAACUUAAGCAUAUCAAUAAGCGGAGGA
RNAcentral lists this unclassified non-coding RNA (347 nucleotides) under soil metagenome. Its description in RNAcentral is "partial contains 5.8S ribosomal RNA, internal transcribed spacer 2, and large subunit ribosomal RNA". The stretch from base 1 to 121 matches the Rfam family "5.8S ribosomal RNA", at positions 35 to 154 of the family's 154-position model. The record is from RNAcentral.